This 334-nucleotide ribosomal RNA is filed under the name uncultured bacterium. RNAcentral describes it as "bacterial SSU rRNA". It matches the Rfam family "Bacterial small subunit ribosomal RNA", at positions 568 to 898 of the family's 1533-position model. The record is from RNAcentral.
CGCGUAGGCGGCUUGGCAAGUCAGAUGUGAAAGCCCCCGGGCUUAACCCGGGAAUUGCAUCUGAAACUGCUUUGCUUGAGUCCUGGAGGGGAUAGUGGAAUUCCCAGUGUAGCGGUGAAAUGCGUAGAUAUUGGGAGGAACACCUGCGGCGAAGGCGGCUAUCUGGACAGUGACUGACGCUGAGGCGCGAAAGCUAGGGGAGCGAACGGGAUUAGAUACCCCGGUAGUCCUAGCCGUAAACGAUGGGCACUUGGUGUUGGGGGUAUUGAGUCCCUCGGUGCCGGAGUUAACACGUUAAGUGCCCCGCCUGGGGAGUACGGUCGCGAAGACUGAA